Molecule: long non-coding RNA, 583 nt
Filed under: Salvia miltiorrhiza (redroot sage)
Lineage: Eukaryota; Viridiplantae; Streptophyta; Magnoliopsida; Lamiales; Lamiaceae
Description: long non-coding RNA (SMIL_LNC008163)
Source: RNAcentral
GCCGCUGUCGACGCUCGCCGCGAACGCGUCGGCGGCGGAGCGCUGCGCCGUGAGGAGAUCGGAGAAGGAUUUGCAGCCCUGCCUCGCGAGGAGAGAGAUUAGGUUAAAAUCGGAGGGCGCGGCGGCGGGGGCCUCGGCCUCCGGCGAGGUGAGGAUGCUGCUGAUUUGGAUGACGGAGAUGUUGUAGGGCAAUUCGUAGAUUGAUUUGACGAAGGUGGCCAUGGGUUGAUCGGCGGCGUCGGCGUCGACUGGUGUGAAGCCGACCUUGCCGCCUUUGAGGUCGGUGAUGUUGACAUAGCCGGAGGUGCCGGCGGCCUCGCCGGUGGCCUGGAAGAGGGAGGAGGUGGUGGUGGAGCCCUUGGUGAUCUGGUGGAGCUUGUUGGAGCCGAAGUAGUCGGCGAAGAUGUGGAGGGAGAGGAUGUUGGUGAGGGUGGGGAGGGGGAAGUGGUGGGAGAGGAGGGCGGCCAUGGCGGCGUUGUCCACGGCGCAGACGGUGAUGGUGUCGCGGCGGUUGAUCUCGUCGGCGAGGUGUGUGGUGGUGAGGUAUUGGUUGAAUGUGGAGAGGGAGGGGUGCGAGGCGAGG